Molecule: unclassified non-coding RNA, 531 nt
Filed under: Hevea brasiliensis (rubber tree)
Lineage: Eukaryota; Viridiplantae; Streptophyta; Magnoliopsida; Malpighiales; Euphorbiaceae
Source: RNAcentral
AUUAAAAAAUAAUUAAAAAUUAAAAUUGAUCAGUUUUAAUCAUAUUAACUUUUUUUUCAAAUUAUUUUUUCUUGGCAGCAUCUAAAUCUUUGCUUUUAUUCAGAAAAAAAAGUUUCAGGCUUUGAAACCCAAACAGGCCUUACGUCUGGUGCUCUUUUAAAGUUUUAUUGUGUGGUGAGAAUAUGAGAUGGUGAAAUUUAGUAAUUCACCCCAUAAGUAUAAUUGAUUAAUAUUGCUGGCAAUAUUCAUUUUCGAAAUUUUCUAUACCUCAAAUUACAUGUAUGGUGUAAGCUUUGAUUGGCCUUUUGGAAUUUGCAUAACUGGAAUCUAUUGUAAGCUUUUCAUAUAUUUGUCAAUUUGCUACGUUUUUAACUAUUUCUAUCCCAUCAAGAGUACAUGGGGACAUAUUGCUCCAGCAAUUAUUUUCGUUUUGAUAGGCUCUCUAAAAUAUUAACAAAAAUCUUGUAUGGAAGUGAGUUUGGCAGGUCGCCAAUUCUCUAAUUCUAGUUGGAUUUUAGAUGCUGCGUUAGU